AGUGAACGCUGGCGGUAGGCCUAACACAUGCAAGUCGAACGGCAGCACAGUAAGAGCUUGCUCUUACGGGUGGCGAGUGGCGGACGGGUGAGGAAUACAUCGGAAUCUACUUUUUCGUGGGGGAUAACGUAGGGAAACUUACGCUAAUACCGCAUACGACCUACGGGUGAAAGCAGAGGAUCUUCGGACCUUGCGCGAUUGAAUGAGUCGAUGUCGGAUUAGCUAGUUGGCGGGGUAAAGGCCCACCAAGGCGACGAUCCGUAGCUGGUCUGAGAGGAUGAUCAGCCACACUGGAACUGAGACACGGUCCAGACUCCUACGGGAGGCAGCAGUGGGGAAUAUUGGACAAUGGGCGCAAGCCUGAUCCAGCCAUACCGCGUGGGUGAAGAAGGCCUUCGGGUCGUAAAGCCCUUUUGUUGGGAAAGAACAGCAGCAGGUUAAUACCCCGCUGUUCUGACGGUACCCAAAGAAUAAGCACCGGCUAACUUCGUG
RNAcentral lists this ribosomal RNA (492 nucleotides) under uncultured bacterium. Its description in RNAcentral is "partial 16S ribosomal RNA". It matches the Rfam family "Bacterial small subunit ribosomal RNA", at positions 29 to 507 of the family's 1533-position model. The record is from RNAcentral.